RNAcentral lists this ribosomal RNA (329 nucleotides) under uncultured eukaryote. Its description in RNAcentral is "partial 18S ribosomal RNA". It matches the Rfam family "Eukaryotic small subunit ribosomal RNA", at positions 1470 to 1796 of the family's 1831-position model. The record is from RNAcentral.
CCCUUAGAUGUUCUGGGCCGCACGCGCGCUACACUGAUGCAUUCAGCGAGUCUAAAACCUGCUCUGAUAGGGGUGGGUAAUCUUUUGAAUGUGCAUCGUGAUUGGGAUAGAUGAUUGCAAUUUUUCAUCUUCAACGAGGAAUGCCUAGUAAACGCAAGUCAUCAGCUUGCAUUGAUUACGUCCCUGCCCUUUGUACACACCGCCCGUCGCUCCUACCGAUUGAAUGAUCCGAUGAAUAUCAUGGAUUGAGGAUGCAAGCAGGUUCGCCUGUCUUCAUCUUCGAGAAGUGAAGUAAAUCUUAUCAUUUAGAGGAAGGAGAAGUCGUAACA